RNAcentral lists this unclassified non-coding RNA (569 nucleotides) under Hevea brasiliensis (rubber tree). The record is from RNAcentral. Lineage: Eukaryota; Viridiplantae; Streptophyta; Magnoliopsida; Malpighiales; Euphorbiaceae.
CAUACAUACUUACACAUCCAGGAAUUCCAACAGUUUUCUAUGACCAUGUUUAUGACUUGGGUGACUCCAUUCAUGACCAAAUUGUGAAACUGAAUUGACAUUAGAAAACGCCAAGACAUCCAUAGUCGAUCAUCUAUCAGGAUUCUUGAAGCCCAGCCAAACCUCUAUUCCGCAAUUAUUGGGGAGAAAGUAUGCAUGAAAAUUGGGGAUGGUUCCUGGUGCCCAGCUGGCAGGGAAUGGACACUGGCAACCUCCGGCCAUAGAUAUGCUGUGUGGCAAAAUUGAUCCCCUUCAUAAUUGGUCCCCAGCGUUGCUAAUCUACUUCUGGGUAGUUUGGUAGUUCAUGCCCUACAGCUACAUACUAGGAUAGUAUAGCUAUUACACGAAUAAUUUUGCUCCAAGAUCACAAUCUUGUCUGUUUUUAUCACUAAAUCAAGGCUCCAUUGGCUUCCAUUUGAGGCUUACUUGGAAGUUUCAUGUUCCCUGCCAUUGAGGACAGGGUAGGGGGUUCAGUGUGAUCCUCCUGACUAGUGGAUAGUGGAUGUGAAAUGUGAUUUAAAGUUCUUGAA